GAUUCUAGGUAGGGGCGUGGGGUAUUGUUUGGGUGGAAUCCAUUGUGGUAUUCAGGUUAGUGUUGUUUUGUCAAAGUAAUAAUAAUUAAGUGUGAUCAUAAAUAAAGAAGUAAUGGCAAUUUAAGCAAAAUGUUCAAUUAUCUAAGUGUAAAAGGGGCCAUAAUUAUGCCAAAAUGCUUGAUACAGUGGUCUGCUCUUAUUUAUAGGUUGGGGUCAUGUUGGUAAACAAGUAUGCAAAAUAUGAAAGCAAUAUGUCAAGGGACAAUGAAGAUAAAUGGGGCAGUACGCAAACUUUAACAUUUGCUGCAUAUUCUAAGUGGAAAAGGGGCCAUAAUUAUGACAAAAUGCUUGAUAGAGUUGUCUGCUCUUGUUUAUAGGUUGGGGUCAUGUUGGUAAACAAGUAUGCAAAAUAUGAAAGCAAUAUGUCAAAGGACAAAGAAUUUUUUUUGGGUAGUACGAAAACUUUAACAUUUGCACGCAGACGCUAACGCCGAUGCUGGGGUGAGUUGGAUAGCUCCACUAUAUAUAUUUCAUAUAUAAUAAUCGAGCUAAAAAAUUCAAAGCGGCGCAUUAGGGGGCUUUGUGUUUCUGACAAACACAUCUCUUGUUAAAUAUUGAAGAUAGCAACUUGAUAAUUGUCAUGCAUGUGUAUCUGAUGGAGCUGCACAUUUUGAGUGGCUAAAGGUCAUGGUCAAGGUCAUCGUUCAAGGUCAAAGGUCAAAUUUAUGGCUUCAGAGCGGCGCAGUAGGGUGCAUUGUGUUUCUGACAAACACAUCUCUUGUUUAAAUAUAUUUAGUAUUGUUAAAGAUUAAAAAAAGAAUGUCAACAUUAUUUUUAAACAAGCAAAAUUACUUUCAUGACUUUAAAGAAUGUUAAAAAAAUUUGUUCAUUAAUUGAUAAUCAUCAUUCAAAAUUGGUAAAAUAAUAAAGGGUUUGUAAUGCUUUGCCUUAUCAUUUUGGAAUAUAUGUCCUAACAUCGAGUUAAUAAUCUGUUUCUAUAUGCUAAAGCCUGUAUUGCGCAAUAGUAGCACACUAGAUUGCUUCCAGAGGUCCUAGGUUUAAAAUCCAUGGAAGGCGAUAUUUGUCAUUCCAUUUUUUUUCUAGCUACUAUUAUAGUUAAGACCAAUGAAAAUGUAGAUUUGUUUGUAAACAUAUAAAAUGACAGUUUUCAAAAAAAAGAUUUUUUUCAAUUCUUUAUUUAUUUUUUUCUGUUUAGUUUGAAACUGGUUGUAUACAGGGUAAUUAAUGAACAUUUAUUAAAAGUGUCCUGUGUAAUGGUAGGAACCAAUAAAGUGUUCUUAAAGUUGCCUUUUUAAGAGUCUAUUGCGGCUUCCUUUUUUGACUGACCCAUUGUAUUCAUUUGUUUGGCUUAAUGAAUUUUUGCAACAUUAUAAAAUGUCACGUCAGUUAACAACUUCUACAGAAUGUAUCAGAAUGUUUUUGUUAAAAUGUAAAUGCUAUGUUUUCGUUAAAUUGUUUCAUGAAGUUUACUAUGGAAUGACGCAAAAACUUCUGUUAUAACCUACAUGCAUUUUGCAUUAACAGCAUAACAAGGAUAUUUGUGCAGUCAUUGUAUAUUGAAUCUGUUUAUUGAAUCCCAUAUAUUUUGUGUUCAAUAUAAUCAAACACAAGGGCAGUGUUUAAUUUGGUAAAAGGAAAAACAGUAAAGGUAUAAUAAAGCAUGAUAAUAAAUUAAUAAUUCUUAAAUGUAAUUUUUAUGCCCCCCUUCGAAGAAGAGGGGGUAUAUUGUUUUGCUCAUGUCGGUCCGUCCGUCCGUAUGUAUGUCCGUAUGUCUGUCCACCAGAUGGUUUCCGGAUGAUAACUCAAGAACGCUUAGGCCCAGGAUCAUGAAACUUCAUAGGUACACUGAUCAUGACUCGCAGAUGACCCCUAUUGAUUUUUAGGUCACUAGGUCAAAGGUCAAGGUCACGGUGACCCAAAAUAGUAAAAUAGUUUCCGGAUGAUAACUCAAGAACGCUUAUGCCUAGGAUCAUGAAACUUGAUAGGUAGAUUGAUCAUGACUGGCAGAUUACCCCUAUUGAUUUUCAGGUCACUAGGUCAAAGGUCAAGGUCAUGGUGACCCGAAAUAGUAAAAUGGUUUCCGGAUGAUAACUCAAGAACGCUUAUGCCUAGGAUCAUGAAACUUCAUAGGUACAUUGAUCAUGACUCGCAGAUGACCCCUAUUGAUUUUCAGGUCAUUAGGUCAAAGGUCAAGGUCACAGUGACCCAAAAUAGUAAAAUGGUUUCCGUAUGAUAUCUCGAGAACGCUUAUGCCUAGGAUCAUGAAACUUGAUAGGUAGAUUGAUCAUGACUCGCAGUUGACCCCUAUUGAUUUUCAAGUCACUAUAUCAAAGGUCAAGGUCACAGUGACCCAAAAUAGUAAAAUGGUUUCUGGAUGAUAACUCAAGAAUGCUUAUGGCUACGAUCAUGAAACUUCAUAGGUACAUUGCUCAUGAUUCACAGAUGACCCCUAUUGAUUUUGAGGUCACUAGGUCAAGGUCACGGUGACCCGAAAUAGUAAAAUGGUUUCCGGAUGAUAACUCAAGAACGCUUAUGCCUAGGAUCAUGAAACUUCAUAGGUACAUUGAUCAUGACUGGCAGAUGACCCCUAUUGAUUUUCAGGUCACUAGGUCAAAGGUCAAGGUCACGGUGACCCGAAAUAGUAAAAUGGUUUUCGGAUGAUAACUGAAGAACGCUUAUGCCUAGAAUCAUGAAACUGGAUAGGUAGAUUAAUCAUGACUCGCAGAUGACCCCUAUUGAUUUUCAGAUCACUAGGUCAAAGAUCAAGGUCACAGUGACAAAAAACAUAUUCACACAAUGGCUGUCACUACAACGGAGAGCCCAUAUGGGGGCAUGAAUGUUUUACAAACAGCCCUUGUUAUCAUUUAAUUUUGUUAGCAUUCAUUAUCAUUCCACGAAAUGUGUGUUAUGGUGACUAGUAAUCUGCAAAUAAGGUAUAUCAAAUAGGCACAAUACUCUUACGCAAAUGCUAUACAGCCAUAUUUCCAAAACAUGAUAAUAAAAUCUUCAUAGCUGUAAUAUUCGCACGUAGAUAUGUUCGCAUAUGUUUUUAUUUUAUCCACUUCCAUUUGACCCACUUUGCAAAUGGUAAUAAAUCUUUUCUUUUCAUCCAUCCAUAGAAUAGGAUGAUCUCUGUUUUAGUAUCGGAUAGCAUACAGAAAUGUCGGUCUUUGGUGUUCAUGCAAAUCGGUCUGUUUGUUGCAACGGUCGAUUAAAAGUCAUAUCGCAUGGGAAGGUUUUGCUGUAUCCAUGUAGAAAUUACUGCGUUUCUUGGUAAUGAAAGAUGUUCUAUGAGAACAUUAUAAUUUAUGUCAUGUGCCAGAGAAAAUCUACAUUUUUAACGUUUUUCCGGGAAGAAAAUCUGAUCUGGUGGCGUGUUAAUUCAAAACAGUAGUAUUACAUAAAUAAAACACAGCUAUGCUUGUUGGUCGUCAAACAUAUUUCGUGUUUCGAAGGAUGUUGGACGUUUUGCGAAUGAACAUGGAUACACAAUAUUUCAUGUUUAAAAUGUGAUACUUAUAUUUGUUAGAAGUUUGUUUUACCAAAACAACACAUGUUUGUAAGUAAUGAUGUGCAAUGUAUAUGGAUAUUUACUUGUUUUCACAAGGAUAUCCUGGAGUAAAAAUCCAAAGCCAGA
Dreissena polymorpha is the source of this 3658-nucleotide long non-coding RNA. RefSeq lists it as uncharacterized. Lineage: Eukaryota; Metazoa; Mollusca; Bivalvia; Myida; Dreissenidae. The transcript has 2 exons. The record is from RefSeq and is a predicted model, not a curated record.